This 76-nucleotide transfer RNA is filed under the name Umbribacter vaginalis. RNAcentral describes it as "Eggerthellaceae bacterium DNF00809 tRNA-Glu". It matches the Rfam family "tRNA". From Rfam's summary of the family: Transfer RNA (tRNA) molecules are approximately 80 nucleotides in length. The record is from RNAcentral. Lineage: Bacteria; Bacillati; Actinomycetota; Coriobacteriia; Eggerthellales; Eggerthellaceae.
GCCCCCAUCGUCUAGAGGCCAAGGACGCCAGCUUCUCAAGCUGGAAACGGAGAUUCGAAUUCUUCUGGGGGCACCA